This 83-nucleotide transfer RNA is filed under the name bacterium. Its description in RNAcentral is "tRNA-Leu". It matches the Rfam family "tRNA". Rfam says of the family: Transfer RNA (tRNA) molecules are approximately 80 nucleotides in length. Their secondary structure includes four short double-helical elements and three loops (D, anti-codon, and T loops). The record is from RNAcentral.
GCCGAGGUGAUGAAAUUGGUAAACAUAUCGCGCUUAAAACGCGACGGCUAACAACCUUGAGGGUUCGAGUCCCUCUCUCGGUA